RNAcentral lists this ribosomal RNA (454 nucleotides) under Vibrio harveyi. RNAcentral's name for it is "bacterial SSU rRNA". It matches the Rfam family "Bacterial small subunit ribosomal RNA", at positions 60 to 508 of the family's 1533-position model. Lineage: Bacteria; Pseudomonadati; Pseudomonadota; Gammaproteobacteria; Vibrionales; Vibrionaceae. The record is from RNAcentral.
AGUUAUCUGAACCUUCGGGGAACGAUAACGGCGUCGAGCGGCGGACGGGUGAGUAAUGCCUAGGAAAUUGCCCUGAUGUGGGGGAUAACCAUUGGAAACGAUGGCUAAUACCGCAUAAUGCCUACGGGCCAAAGAGGGGGACCUUCGGGCCUCUCGCGUCAGGAUAUGCCUAGGUGGGAUUAGCUAGUUGGUGAGGUAAUGGCUCACCAAGGCGACGAUCCCUAGCUGGUCUGAGAGGAUGAUCAGCCACACUGGAACUGAGACACGGUCCAGACUCCUACGGGAGGCAGCAGUGGGGAAUAUUGCACAAUGGGCGCAAGCCUGAUGCAGCCAUGCCGCGUGUGUGAAGAAGGCCUUCGGGUUGUAAAGCACUUUCAGUCGUGAGGAAGGUAGUGUAGUUAAUAGCUGCAUUACUUGACGUUAGCGACAGAAGAAGCACCGGCUAACUCCGUGC